This 306-nucleotide ribosomal RNA is filed under the name Triticum aestivum (bread wheat). Its description in RNAcentral is "partial small subunit ribosomal RNA". Lineage: Eukaryota; Viridiplantae; Streptophyta; Magnoliopsida; Poales; Poaceae. The record is from RNAcentral.
AUGAUCAUUGACUAUGCUCACUUCGGUGAUGUUGUUACGUUUGAUACUACAUUUGGGACAAAUAAAGAGUACAGACCCUUUGGUGUAUUUGUUGGCUUCAACCAUUUUAGGGAAAUGUUCAUUUUUGGUGCUGCACUUCUAUACGACGAGACAUUUGAAUCCUUCAGAUGGUUGUUCAACACUUUCCUAUCCAUACAUAACAAAAAAAAAAAGACGAGGAUGGCCCAAAUGUACUUGCUGAUUUCAGUGCUUGCAUGUACAAGUAUGAGGAAGAGGAAGACUUUGAAGAAGCUUUCACUGCCAUAA